GCAGACAGACAGUUUAUUUUUAAAGCAAUUGUUUUUUUGUAUUUAUACUUGUAUUUGGAGGGGUCCCCGAACCCCAUGUUUGUGCACCCCUAAAUCCGGCAGCAGCUUUAACAAUUCCCCCACCCCCCUCCCUCUCAUAAUAUGGAAGCAACACGCGUUGACGUGUUGCGCUGCGCUUCCGACCGCUGGUGUCGGCAUGCGUCCUGUGCGCACACACACAUACACACAACACACACACACACACAUAACACACACAGAUACGCACAUACACAUCACUCUCGUGGGGACAUGCGGCCAAGCAGACGCAGUCACGGACUGAAGAUUGACUCUGCAGGAGAGGAGAUGGAGAACUUCUGCAGCAUCCGUCCACCUUCGGCCAUUUUGAGUUGGAGAAAACCUUUUAGACACUGAAAAGCAGAGGAGAUAAAGAGGAGGAAGACAGCUCAUUAUCAAAAUGCAUUUCUGGGUCAAAAUCGUGUUUAUAAAGGUUCAUUUUUUUUCCCUGUGUAGACCAACUUAAACAUCAUUAGCCAGCUGAGGUGCAGUUUUAUUUUUUACUGUGACCACCAGGGGGCGCUGCUCCCCACUCACUGAACAUGCUGAAAUUAGAACAAAAUGCAAUUCAUGAGGUGUAACUGAUAACAUUUUUUGUGCAGAUUAUGCCACUCUGGGCAGAGAGCCAUUGUCUCCUUAUUAAAAACACUAAUUGAUGAGUUCUCCAUUUGUUAAAAAUGAAAUUGGAAGAAUGAGGACAUACUCCAGAGAAUUUUAUUCGUAAACGUGUAAUGUUUUCUUUUUUUAAAUUGGUUAAAAACUUACCAAAUCCUCCAUACUGAUGCUAAAAAAGCGCAUGGCAGUUUUCUUGGGCGAAAAAAAAUCCUGAGAAUUCUGGUGUGGUUGCUUUGCAAAAAUUCAGCAAGCAUAGCGCUACAGAUGCAUAAAGUCAGGUUGCUUUAACAAGUCGAGAACAAUAUCCUCAUCCGGGGUUGUUGCAGGAAGUGUGAAAUCAGAUCUGUAUCACUAACUUGGAAAAAGCGACACCAGUAAAUAACUUUUUCAUGCGUGUUGCUGAGGGAGGAAAUUGCCAGGACAUAUGUAGGUGAAGGUGCAAGUAGGAAAUAGGUGUCUGGUUGUGUUUAAAACAAAAAAAAAAAAAAUCUGUAUUAACUUUUGCGAUUGUGUUUCUGUAAGGAAAAAAAAAAAAAACUGGCAGAAAUUGUUUUUGUAUCAUUACGAGCUGCACACACCCUUCUCGGCAGAUUUACAUCAGCUUGAGGUCGUUUCCCUGCUCAUUAAAAUCUCCCCCGCCUGGAAAGAGGCGCCCAAUCAGAGCGGCGGAGGAGCCAGCGGGUGCCCAGCGUUUGCUCAGUAGUCAGUGUAGAUCCUGUGGGGCUGGCAGCAGCUACAUCUGGCUACUGGGUCUCUGCUGACGACCAAUCCGGUCCCAGAAUUCAGGACUGUCGCAGAUGUUUGGUUUCUCCUCACUUGGGACUAGUUCUGGACCUGGCAUACAGUGUAGGAUCCUGUGUGUGUCCGUCUACAGCUACAUUGUCUGCUGGGUUUCAGGCCUGUCUACUUUAAAGUCACCUUUCAGAGGAAUAAGUAAAAAAAAAAAAAAACAU
Poecilia reticulata (guppy) is the source of this 1622-nucleotide non-coding RNA. NCBI's taxonomy places the organism in Eukaryota, Metazoa, Chordata, Actinopteri, Cyprinodontiformes, Poeciliidae. The record is from RefSeq and is a predicted model, not a curated record.